CGGGUUAUAUUAUAAUUAGACACUCUUAUACUUGGGAGUAAUACAAUUUUAAGUCGUGUCAAUGGUACAAACAAGCCCUUAUAGUUUUGGUUUUGUAUUGGGUAUCACAUAUGAUACUUAAUUCUUCAAUUCAAACAAAUACUACGCCAAUAAUAAGACAAGACGGUAAUAUAAUUGAAUUCAAGACGUACCAAAUACGCUAUCUCUCUCUCUCUCUCUCUCUCUCUCUCUCUCUCUGUGUGUGUGUGUGUGUGUGUGUGUGUGUGUGUGUGUGUAUGUAUAC
This 283-nucleotide long non-coding RNA is filed under the name Citrus x clementina. RNAcentral describes it as "Citrus clementina (C. clementina) long non-coding RNA (CCLE_LNC000823)". The record is from RNAcentral. Lineage: Eukaryota; Viridiplantae; Streptophyta; Magnoliopsida; Sapindales; Rutaceae.